This 488-nucleotide unclassified non-coding RNA is filed under the name Rhynchospora tenerrima. RNAcentral's name for it is "partial external transcribed spacer 1F". Lineage: Eukaryota; Viridiplantae; Streptophyta; Magnoliopsida; Poales; Cyperaceae. The record is from RNAcentral.
GCGCAUCUGCGCGGCUGACUGUCGUGGGGCCUCCUUUUCAUUAUCCCUCUCGUGCUCAACAUGGGAGGGAAUUGGGUAGAUGGCUUUGUCUGUGCGGUUAUAUCUGAUUCGGGAAACAUGAUCGGUCCCAUCAUGGCUGUAUUUCGCUUGCCCUGUUUGAUUAUUUUAAUAAUUGCAGGGAAGCCGAAUUGUUGGUGAAACCCUCGUGCAUUCURUGGCNUUUUUGCUAAUGGUAACUGCAUGCGGGUGCUGCCGGCUCUCGCGAAUGCUGUGUCCAAUAUAAGUUCUGUAGGACAUUGGUCCACAGGCUUUGAGAGGUCCCAUCUACAGAUCAUGGGUCUGUCGAUUGCCCGUCAUGUUGGCUCUGCCUUCAUGUCGUAGCGUUGUUUGGGUUGCCUGUCCGAUCGAAUGAGCAGUGAUUGUCGGCUAGUGUUGUGAGAUGGUCCUUCCCUUCAGGGCAGUUCCGGAAAACGAUGUACCGACUCUCG